Molecule: ribosomal RNA, 253 nt
Filed under: uncultured bacterium
Lineage: Bacteria
Description: partial 16S ribosomal RNA
Rfam family: Bacterial small subunit ribosomal RNA
Source: RNAcentral
UACAGAGGGUGCGAGCGUUGUUCGGAAUUAUUGGGCGUAAAGCGCUUGUAGGCGGCUCGUGAAGUCUCGUGUGAAAUCCCUAGGCUUAACCUAGGAAGUGCGCGAGAAACUAAGGAGCUUGAGUGCCGGAGAGGGUCGCGGAAUUCCCGGUGUAGAGGUGAAAUUCGUAGAUAUCGGGAGGAACACCAGUGGCGAAGGCGGCGACCUGGACGGACACUGACGCUGAGACGCGAAAGCGUGGGGAGCAAACAGG